UACGGAGGGUGCGAGCGUUGUUCGGAUUUACUGGGCGUAAAGGGCGCGUAGGCGGCCUGUUAAGUCAGACGUGAAAGCCCAAGGCUCAACCUUGGAAGUGCAUCUGAAACUGAUAGGCUUGAGUACUGGAGGGGAAAGUGGAAUUCCCGGUGUAGAGGUGAAAUUCGUAGAUAUCGGGAGGAAUACCGGUGGCGAAGGCGACUUUCUGGACAGAUACUGACGCUGAGGCGCGAAAGCGUGGGGAGCAAACAGG
This 253-nucleotide ribosomal RNA is filed under the name uncultured bacterium. RNAcentral's name for it is "partial 16S ribosomal RNA". It matches the Rfam family "Bacterial small subunit ribosomal RNA", at positions 524 to 776 of the family's 1533-position model. The record is from RNAcentral.